UGCAAGUCGAGCGAACGGACGAGAAGCUUGCUUCUCUGAUGUUAGCGGCGGACGGGCGUGUAACACGUGGAUAACCUACCUAUAAGACUGGGAUAACUUCGGGAAACCGGAGCUAAUACCGGAUAAUAUUUUGAACCGCAUGGUUCAAAAGUGAAAGACGGUCUUGCUGUCACUUAUAGAUGGAUCCGCGCUGCAUUAGCUAGUUGGUAAGGUAACGGCUUACCAAGGCAACGAUGCAUAGCCGACCUGAGAGGGUGAUCGGCCACACUGGAACUGAGACACGGUCCAGACUCCUACGGGAGGCAGCAGUAGGGAAUCUUCCGCAAUGGGCGAAAGCCUGACGGAGCAACGCCGCGUGAGUGAUGAAGGUCUUCGGAUCGUAAAACUCUGUUAUUAGGGAAGAACAUAUGUGUAAGUAACUGUGCACAUCUUGACGGUACCUAAUCAGAAAGCCACGGCUAACUACGUGCCAGCAGCCGCGGUAAUACGUAGGUGGCAAGCGUUAUCCGGAAUUAUUGGGCGUAAAGCGCGCGUAGGCGGUUUUUUAAGUCUGAUGUGAAAGCCCACGGCUCAACCGUGGAGGGUCAUUGGAAACUGGAAAACUUGAGUGCAGAAGAGGAAAGUGGAAUUCCAUGUGUAGCGGUGAAAUGCGCAGAGAUAUGGAGGAACACCAGUGGCGAAGGCGACUUUCUGGUCUGUAACUGACGCUGAUGUGCGAAAGCGUGGGGAUCAAACAGGAUUAGAUACCCUGGUAGUCCACGCCGUAAACGAUGAGUGCUAAGUGUUAGGGGGUUUCCGCCCCUUAGUGCUGCAGCUAACGCAUUAAGCACUCCGCCUGGGGAGUACGACCGCAAGGUUGAAACUCAAGGAAUUGACGGGGACCCGCACAAGCGGUGGAGCAUGUGGUUUAAUUCGAAGCAACGCGAGACCUUACCAAAUCUGACAUCCUUUGACAACUCUAGAGAUAGAGCCUUCCCCUUCGGGGGACAAAGUGACAGGUGGUGCAUGGUGUCGUCAGCCUCGUGUCGGGAGAAUGUGGGUAAGUCCCGCACGAGGCGCCACCCUUA
This 1067-nucleotide ribosomal RNA is filed under the name Staphylococcus sp. NA19. Its description in RNAcentral is "bacterial SSU rRNA". It matches the Rfam family "Bacterial small subunit ribosomal RNA", at positions 56 to 1107 of the family's 1533-position model. Lineage: Bacteria; Bacillati; Bacillota; Bacilli; Caryophanales; Staphylococcaceae. The record is from RNAcentral.